UUCAGCUUAGAUUCAUAUGCAAGUUAACGAAAGACCAGAAAGUUUCAAUUGAGGCGAAACUAAAAGAAAGAAAGGAGAUUCCCAGACUUUUGAACUUCAAUAAGCUGAAGAGGCCAACAACGGAUGUGAAGCACAUAAAGAUUGGAUGUGAAGCACAUAAAGAUUGGCCAGAUCUUUGUUCGGUGAGCUUGCUAUUGGUUAGGAUAGAUUAAUAAUUCUAAACGAUUGUUCUGUAAAUGGAAAUGGAAUCUGCCCAACAUGUCUUGGAUUUAUUGGAAAGAGCCUAACGUCAAUAUUGCUCCUACGCCUGUGCAAAGGGCUCAUCAGUCUGUUAAUACAGGUGAAAACGGAGCACACAUUCAAUAAUAACC
This 371-nucleotide long non-coding RNA is filed under the name Populus trichocarpa (black cottonwood). RNAcentral describes it as "long non-coding RNA (PTRI_LNC000931)". The record is from RNAcentral. Lineage: Eukaryota; Viridiplantae; Streptophyta; Magnoliopsida; Malpighiales; Salicaceae.